This 199-nucleotide small RNA is filed under the name Staphylococcus auricularis. RNAcentral's name for it is "RNA Staph. aureus D". It matches the Rfam family "RNA Staph. aureus D". The record is from RNAcentral. Lineage: Bacteria; Bacillati; Bacillota; Bacilli; Caryophanales; Staphylococcaceae.
UUUGCUAUAAUAAAUUUUAACUUCUUGCUGAGCAUGUUCAGCAAGGAGCCAUCUCCUUUGUGUUGUUUAUAGUAACAAACAAAUUUUUGCUCAACGUAUGUAAAUGUGACUUAGUCCUUCGCGUUUACAUACCAUUAAUUCAUUUCCCGUAAAGCCAAGUAAUGAUGAACGUGUCUCCUCACUUCAUUGUCUUGGCUUU